UACCAGCUCUCCGAGUUGUAGGGAUGAUUAUUGGGCUUAAAGCGUCCGUAGCCGGCUUGGCAAGUCUCCUGUUAAAUUCAGCGACCUAAUCGUUGAGCCGCGGGAGAUACUACUAGGCUAGGAGGCGGGAGAGGUCGACGGUACUUUCGGGGUAGGGGUGAAAUCCUAUAAUCCCGGGAGGACCACCAGUGGCGAAGGCUGUCGACUAGAACGCGCUCGACGGUGAGGGACGAAAGCUGGGGGAGCGAACCGGAUUAGAUACCCGGGUAGUCCCAGCUGUAAACGAUGCGGGCUAGGUGUUGGGGUGGCUACGGGCCACUUCAGUGCCGCAGGGAAGCCAUUAAGCCCGCCGCCUGGGGAGUACGGCCGCAAGGCUGAAACUUAAAGGAAUUGGCGGGGAGCACCACAAGGCGUGAAGCUUGCGGUUC
This 428-nucleotide ribosomal RNA is filed under the name uncultured archaeon. RNAcentral's name for it is "bacterial SSU rRNA". It matches the Rfam family "Archaeal small subunit ribosomal RNA", at positions 474 to 903 of the family's 1478-position model. The record is from RNAcentral.